Molecule: ribosomal RNA, 254 nt
Filed under: uncultured bacterium
Lineage: Bacteria
Description: partial 16S ribosomal RNA
Rfam family: Bacterial small subunit ribosomal RNA
Source: RNAcentral
GACAGAGGGUGCGAACGUUGCUCGGAAUUACUGGGCGUAAAGCGUGUGUAGGCGGCCACGCAAGUCGGAUGUGAAAGCCCUGGGCUCAACCCAGGAAGUGCACCCGAUACUGCGACGGCUUGAGUACCGGAGAGGUUGGUGGAAUUCUCGGUGUAGAGGUGAAAUUCGUAGAUAUUGGCUGGAACACCGGUGGCGAAAGCGGCUCUCUGGCCCGGUUCUGACGCUGAGGCGCGAAAGCGUGGGGAGCAAACAGG